UACACACCGCCCGUCACACCAUGGAAGUUGGCUGCACCAGAAGUAGGUAGUCUAACCGCAAGGGGGGCGCUUACCACGGUGUGGUCAAUGACUGGGGUG
Molecule: ribosomal RNA, 99 nt
Filed under: uncultured bacterium
Lineage: Bacteria
Description: partial 16S ribosomal RNA
Rfam family: Bacterial small subunit ribosomal RNA
Source: RNAcentral